This 326-nucleotide ribosomal RNA is filed under the name uncultured Actinomycetes bacterium. Its description in RNAcentral is "bacterial SSU rRNA". It matches the Rfam family "Bacterial small subunit ribosomal RNA", at positions 28 to 351 of the family's 1533-position model. The record is from RNAcentral. Lineage: Bacteria; Bacillati; Actinomycetota; Actinomycetes.
GAUGAACGCUGGCGGCGUGCUUAACACAUGCAAGUCGAACGAUUAAAGCUCUCUUCGGAGAGUGUAUAGAGUGGCGAACGGGUGAGUAACACGUGGGCAACCUACCCCCCGCUCCGGGAUAACUCAGGGAAACUUGAGCUAAUACCGGAUACUCCGUAAGGAUCGCAUGGUCCUUUCGGGAAAGUUCCGGCGGCGAGGGAUGGGCCCGCGGCCCAUUAGCUAGUUGGUGAGGUAAUGGCUCACCAAGGCAACGAUGGGUAGCCGAGCUGAGAGGCUGAUCGGCCACACUGGGACUGAGACACGGCCCGGACUCCUACGGGUGGCAG